AAUUGUUUAACUAAUAAUAUUUCAAGAUAUUAAUACUAAUAUAUCAUUAAAAACAAAAUACUUACAUCAAUUCAUUGAGAUUUUAUGAGGGUAUAAGUGUCUAUCGAUUCCAACUUUCACAUUCCCUUACAAAACUUAUGAAACAUUAAUGAAAAAUCACUUCUAAUUGCAUUCACAUAAUUGAAUUAAGGGACUAGGGUCAUCAAAACACAAUAGUAAACAUAUGUGCCUUAUAUUUUUCAUCAAAGCACAAUUGCAUUUAACGCAACAAUUAGCUUUCGCAUUAAGGCAUCAUCCAACAUUUUCGGGUUAACAAGACAAUCCCUUGCAAAAAUCAU
Molecule: long non-coding RNA, 338 nt
Filed under: Trifolium pratense (red clover)
Lineage: Eukaryota; Viridiplantae; Streptophyta; Magnoliopsida; Fabales; Fabaceae
Description: long non-coding RNA (TPRA_LNC013256)
Source: RNAcentral